This 497-nucleotide ribosomal RNA is filed under the name uncultured bacterium. RNAcentral's name for it is "partial 16S ribosomal RNA". It matches the Rfam family "Bacterial small subunit ribosomal RNA", at positions 28 to 507 of the family's 1533-position model. The record is from RNAcentral.
GAUGAACGCUGGCGGCGUGCCUAAUACAUGCAAGUCGAGCGAACAGACGAGGAGCUUGCUCCUCUGACGUUAGCGGCGCACGGGUGAGUAACACGUGGAUAACCUCCCUAUCAGACUGGGAUAACUUCGGGACACCGGAGCUAAUACCGUAUAAUCUAUUGAACCGCAUGGUUCAAUAGUGAAAUACGGUUUUGCUGUCACUUCUAGAUGGUUCCGGGCCGCAUUAGCUAGUUGUUAAGUUAACGGCUUACCAAGGCAACGAUGCGUAACCGACGUGAGAGAGUGAUAGGCGACACUGGAAGUGAGACAGGGUCCAGACUCCUAAGGGAGGCAGCAGUAGGGAAUGUUACGCAAUGGGCGAAAGCAUGACGGAGCAACGCCGCGUGAGAGAUGAAGGUCUUCGGAUCGUAAAACUCUGUUAUUAGGGAAGAACAAAUGUGUAAGUAACUAUGCACGUCUUGACGGUACCUAAUCAGAAAGCAACGGCUAACUACGUG